This is a long non-coding RNA of Heterocephalus glaber (naked mole-rat), 1146 nucleotides long. NCBI's taxonomy places the organism in Eukaryota, Metazoa, Chordata, Mammalia, Rodentia, Bathyergidae. The record is from Ensembl.
AGACGGAAGAGAUUGCUUCAUUUUACAGUCACCCUAGAAACGCCUCCGUCCUUCUCAGAAAGGAGAGUUGGCAGCGGGUCUGGCUGGCAUUGUGGGAUCUGUACAGGAUCCGCUCUUUGCUCCCGGUCCACGCCGAAGCUGUCAUCGGCUUAGAAUAGCGGUUAAGAAGUGUGGUGUGGAUGGAUGGACGGACCUACCACACGAAAAGCUCAGAAGCCCAAAUGUCUCCAUCCUUAACCUUAACUUGACUUUUAUAUGCACCCAUUGCUCCUCUGCACAGAGUGGUGUACAAGAAAUGAACAUAACUUGCCAAGCAAGAUGACCAACACCUGUAAUCCCAGCUCCCUGAGGCUGAGAUAGCAUCCUGCAUCCCGAGUCUUAAACAGAAUCUAAUGCAACAAAAGAAGAUUUAUUCUCCACUCCUUAGAAAAGGUCUGUAUUUUAAAACUAUUUCUGCUUUCUCAAUCUCUUUGUUUUAUACUGUAAGACGGAAAGCCUCAAGUACUUGAGUGGCUGCCAGUCAUUCUACUGCAUUCUUGGUAGAAAGAAGCUGGAUAAAAAAGCUAUGGCAUAAAUCAAGUUUGGAAGCAGAUCAGGAGAAUGAAUAGCGUCAACCAGAGAAAUCUGAAAGACGAACACUAGCCUUAAUGGAGAGUCCUUCAACUCAAGACAAGGAAAAGAGACUAUACUUCUAUGAAAAAAAAUUUUAAGAAGAUGUGUUUGUGCCUAUAUGAUCUCCCACCAUGAUGCGCCACCAUCUAUUGCCCUCAUUGAAAGCCAAAACAGUGUCCUCUCAUCAGUCUCCUCAUCUUGGACUUUGAACCUCUAAAACUGGUCUCACUAAGUUGCCCAGGUUGGCCUCAAACUUGGGAUCCUCCUGCCUCAGCCUCCCAAGUAGCUGGAAUUACAAAUGUGCCCACCAUACCAAGCAUGAAGUCCUCUUUGUACUCCAUCUAGUCCUUUUCUCUUCUAACUGCCAACAUGUCAUCACUCCUAGCUACCAAGACACACCCCUAUAUGUAUCUUUCCCACAGGUAUGUAUGCAUGUAUGUAUGUAUGAAAAUCUCUGAUUCUUUUCUUCUAUUAAAUUUUUCUUUUGUGUCUUUCUAAAUUUUACAUAUAUGUGUAUAUAUAUAUUUGCAUUCA